This 1083-nucleotide long non-coding RNA is filed under the name Amphibalanus amphitrite. RNAcentral describes it as "uncharacterized LOC122392773". Lineage: Eukaryota; Metazoa; Arthropoda; Thecostraca; Balanomorpha; Balanidae. The record is from RNAcentral.
UCUCGAAAGCACUGCGACGGCUGCCGGCAGCGUGGUUGUUCCUUUGGCGAGUUGGUGUCUGGCGCACAGCGCGAACGUCUCAUGAGCAAGAAGCCGUAGAGACGAUGCUCUCAAUGUUGGACACCGAAGUGAGGCAACUCAUCGGGCACAACGCCAAAAUGUCCCUGUUGUGUCCAGCUCCUGGGUCACGCGUGUCGCGCCUUGACAGCCGUGACCUUGAACGACCUUGACCGGCCGGGCCGGGCCGAGCGGCCGAGGGUCAGUAUCGUCCGAGCGGCGCUGGUGUCAACACAGCUGAGUGCCGCGAGGUGAGGUGAGGCGUGUUCGCCGAGACGGUCCGGCCACAGUGAAAUAGUGAAAUAGUGGUGUAAUCGAUAAUAUGCGUGGCCAGUACGCGAGUGAGAUUGACCCUGUGCGCGACACCGAUUCAGAGACGCACAUAAGUUAACACCGUCGUGUCGGAUCGCUCGUACCGGUGCAGUGAUGGGAGACAGCGAGCAGCUGGAGCGUCUGAUGGCGCUCAUGGUUCAGCAGUCAGCAGGCUGCCAUGCUGGAGUAGCUCCUCCCCAGCCAGAUGCAGCUACUAGCUGCGCAAACUGUCUAGAGCGGCCAACCGGCUGUCGUCGCCUCCGCCGCUCCUAUGGCUAGACUUCGGUCUCGCAUGGACUGCCGUCGGUAGUGUUCACAUGCCAGCCCAUACAUUUUACCUGUAUUAACUUUUUAAUGUCUGUGUCUGCGUAACUAUUGUACGUGCCUGUACUUAACAGUGUUUGAAUUGUACAUCGUUCGCACAGUCUGUGGACCGUGGGGAGCGCCGCUUGACAUGCAUUUUUGCACUUACCUGCAUUCCGUGUUAAAAGUUAAGUAAAGGGACUGAGCUGUCGUGCACCGGGAGAUAUUAUGGUCUCUUGCUAAACGACUCAGUUGAAACUCAGCACGCCGGUCGGUACUGACUGGGGCGGCAAGCGAAAGGGUUUGGGCAGCUUUUGAAACAAAAUGUUCGCAUCGAAUGACAGCAUCGCAUGUUCUGUUCCAGAGUGAGUUUUUUGACAUCUGACACAAUAAAUAUACAUGCCUGUUCUU